UACGAAAGGGGCUAGCGUUGUUCGGAAUUACUGGGCGUAAAGCGCACGUAGGCGGCCUUGUAAGUCGGGGGUGAAAUCCCGGGGCUCAACUCCGGAACUGCCUUCAAGACUGCAAAGCUAGAGGACGCGAGAGGUUAGCGGAAUUCCGAGUGUAGAGGUGAAAUUCGUAGAGAUUCGGAAGAACACCAGUGGCGAAGGCGGCUAACUGGCGCGUUACUGACGCUGAGGUGCGAAAGAGUGGGGAGCAAACAGG
Molecule: ribosomal RNA, 253 nt
Filed under: uncultured bacterium
Lineage: Bacteria
Description: partial 16S ribosomal RNA
Rfam family: Bacterial small subunit ribosomal RNA
Source: RNAcentral